Molecule: ribosomal RNA, 460 nt
Filed under: uncultured bacterium
Lineage: Bacteria
Description: partial 16S ribosomal RNA
Rfam family: Bacterial small subunit ribosomal RNA
Source: RNAcentral
CCUACGGGAGGCUGCAGUGAGGAAUAUUGGUCAAUGGACGAGAGUCUGAACCAGCCAAGUAGCGUGAAGGAUGACUGCCCUCUGGGUUUUAAACUUCUUUUAUAAAGGAAUAAAACGAGGCACGUUUGCCUUUUUGCAUGUACUUUAUGAAUAAGGAUCGGCUAAAUCCGUGCCAGCAGCCGCGGUAAUACGGAGGAUCCGAGCGUUAACCGGAUUGAUUGGGGUUAAAGGGAGCGUAGACGGGUUGUUAAGUCAGUUGGGAAAGUAGGGGGCUCAACCGUAAAAUGGCAAUUGAAAAUGGGUGGCUUGAGUACAUUGAAGGUAGGCGGCAUUCCUGGUGUAGCGGUGAAAUGCUUAGAUAUCACGCAGAACCCCGAUUGCGAAGGCAGCUUACUAAACUGUGACUGACAUUGAUGCUCGAAAGUGUGGGUAUCAAACAGGAUUAGAUACCCUUGUAGUC